RNAcentral lists this non-coding RNA (948 nucleotides) under Cirripectes stigmaticus (red-streaked blenny). RNAcentral describes it as "12S ribosomal RNA". It matches the Rfam family "Bacterial small subunit ribosomal RNA". The record is from RNAcentral. Lineage: Eukaryota; Metazoa; Chordata; Actinopteri; Blenniiformes; Blenniidae.
CAAAGGCUUGGUCCUGACUUUACUGUCAACUUUAGCUAAACUUACACAUGCAAGUCUCUGCCCUCCUGUGAGGAUGCCCUGUAGUUCCUCUCCCUGGAACAAGGAGCUGGUAUCAGGCACACCACGUGUAGCCCAUAACACCUUGCUUAGCCACACCCCUAAGGGACCACAGCAGUGAUAAAUAUUAAGCAAUAAGUGAAAACUUGACUUAGUUAAGGCUUAUAAGGGCCGGUAAAACUCGUGCCAGCCACCGCGGUUAUACGAGAGGCCCAAGCUGACAGACCCUCGGCGUAAAGAGUGGUUAGAAUAAAAUUAAACUAAAGCCGAAUAUCUCCACAACUGUCAUACGUACUUGGAGAUUAGAAGAACUCCUACGAAAGUGGCUUUAUUCUUUUGAACCCACGGAAGCUAUGGUACAAACUGGGAUUAGAUACCCCACUAUGCAUAGCCUUAAACCUAGAUAACACUUUACAUCCGUUAUCCGCCCGGGAACUACGAGCACUAGCUUAAAACCCAAAGGACUUGGCGGUGCUUAAUAACCCCCUAGAGGAGCCUGUUCUAGAACCGAUAACCCUCGUUAAACCUCACCCCUUCUUGUUUAUCCCGCCUAUAUACCGCCGUCGUCAGCUUACCCUGUGAAGGUUUAAUAGUAAGCAAAAUUAGUAUAACCCAAAACGUCAGGUCGAGGUGUAGCAUAUGAAAGGGGAAGAAAUGGGCUACAUUUUCUAUCUAUAGAAAAUACGAAAAGUGUACUGAAAUGUAUAUUAGAAGGAGGAUUUAGUAGUAAGGAAGAAAUAGAGUGUCUUUCUGAAACUGGCCCUUAAGCGCGCACACACCGCCCGUCACUCUCUCCAAGCUAAAGUUUCUUAAAUAACUAAUGCACCUUACCAGCAAAGGGGAGGCAAGUCGUAACAUGGUAAGUGUACCGGAAGGUGCACUUGGAUAAAU